GGAAUCCAGGUGAUCUACCUUCCUCUAACAACUUAAGUAUCUUUUUGAUCUCUUCAUCCUCCUUCUGAUCCUUGCUAAUCUCUUGCUCAAGGGUUGGUUCUAUAUCCAUAGAAGUACCCUAGGUGUUGGCAACAAACCCCAAGUUGAGAUAUUCAAAUUCUGCCAGCAGUUCCAUUGGUAACUCUGUGGCUUCCAACAUAUUCACUUGACUCUUUGUACUCAGAGCAUCAGCAACUACAUUAGCUUUGCCUGGGUGGUAGUGGAUCUCCAGUUCAUAAUCCUUG
RNAcentral lists this long non-coding RNA (284 nucleotides) under Sorghum bicolor (sorghum). RNAcentral describes it as "long non-coding RNA (SBIC_LNC015953)". Lineage: Eukaryota; Viridiplantae; Streptophyta; Magnoliopsida; Poales; Poaceae. The record is from RNAcentral.